RNAcentral lists this ribosomal RNA (688 nucleotides) under uncultured bacterium. Its description in RNAcentral is "bacterial SSU rRNA". It matches the Rfam family "Bacterial small subunit ribosomal RNA", at positions 813 to 1500 of the family's 1533-position model. The record is from RNAcentral.
CGACUUGGAGGUUGUUCCCUUGAGGAGUGGCUUCCGGAGCUAACGCGUUAAGUCGACCGCCUGGGGAGUACGGCCGCAAGGUUAAAACUCAAAUGAAUUGACGGGGGCCCGCACAAGCGGUGGAGCAUGCGGUUUAAUUCGAUGCAACGCGAAGAACCUUACCUACUCUUGACAUCCAGCGAACUUGGCAGAGAUGCCUUGGUGCCUUCGGGAACGCUGAGACAGGUGCUGCAUGGCUGUCGUCAGCUCGUGUUGUGAAAUGUUGGGUUAAGUCCCGCAACGAGCGCAACCCUUAUCCUUUGUUGCCAGCGAGUCAUGUCGGGAACUCAAAGGAGACUGCCGGUGAUAAACCGGAGGAAGGUGGGGAUGGCGUCAAGUCAUCAUGGCCCUUACGAGUAGGGCUACACACGUGCUACAAUGGCGCAUACAAAGAGAAGCGACCUCGCGAGAGCAAGCGGACCUCACAAAGUGCGUCGUAGUCCGGAUCGGAGUCUGCAGCUCGACUCCGUGAAGUCGGAAUCGCUAGUAAUCGUGGAUCAGAAUGCCACGGUGAAUACGUUCCCGGGCCUUGUACACACCGCCCGUCACACCAUGGGAGUGGGUUGCAAAAGAAGUAGGUAGCUUAACCUUCGGGAGGGCGCUUACCACUUUGUGAUUCAUGACUGGGGUGAAGUCGUAACAAGGUAUC